GACGAACGCUGGCGGAGGGAGGAACACAUGCAAGUCGAACGGAAAGGCCCUGCUUUUGUGGGGUGCUCGAGUGGCGAACGGGUGAGUAACACGUGAGUAACCUGCCCUUGACUUGGGGAUAACUUCAGGAAACUGGGGCUAAUACCGGAUAGGAGCUCCUGCUGCAUGGUGGGGGUUGGAAAGUUUCGGCGGUUGGGGAUGGACUCGCGGCUUAUCAGCUUGUUGGUGGGGUAGUGGCUUACCAAGGCUUUGACGGGUAGCCGGCCUGAGAGGGUGACCGGCCACAUUGGGACUGAGAUACGGCCCAGACUCCUACGGGAGGCAGCAGUGGGGAAUAUUGCACAAUGGGCGGAAGCCUGAUGCAGCAACGCCGCGUGCGGGAUGACGGCCUUCGGGUUGUAAACCGCUUUCGCCUGUGACGAAGCGUGAGUGACGGUAAUGGGUAAAGAAGCACCGGCUAACUACGUG
This 468-nucleotide ribosomal RNA is filed under the name uncultured bacterium. Its description in RNAcentral is "partial 16S ribosomal RNA". It matches the Rfam family "Bacterial small subunit ribosomal RNA", at positions 28 to 507 of the family's 1533-position model. The record is from RNAcentral.